This is a long non-coding RNA of Gasterosteus aculeatus aculeatus (three-spined stickleback), 2658 nucleotides long. The record is from Ensembl. Lineage: Eukaryota; Metazoa; Chordata; Actinopteri; Perciformes; Gasterosteidae.
AGGGGGCGACUCCUCUGCUCCCAUAGACGUCUAUGAGGAAAUGACUCUACUUCUCUGUAGUGACCAGCAGGGGGCGACUCCUCUGCUCCCAUAGACGUCUAUGAGGAAAUGACUCAAAUGAUUCAUACACGUGUUUAUGAGGCUGUACACAUGAGUCUAUGGACUCGAUCUCUAGACUUCUUCAACACAGCAGGAUGUUCAUUUAGGGAUAUUUAUAUUGUAGUCAGACCAUAGAAUGGGAUGUUUUAGGGCGGGGCUACACGCUAGUUGACAUAUGCCGUCUAAGUCUUCCUCACUCCAAAUAAGGUCACUUCCUGUUGACCAAAAAAAAUUUUCCCAAAAAAGUUGACCAAACUCGAGGCUUCAAAGUGGAAAUGUCUCACUUGUUAAAUACUUACUUGUGUAUCUUUAUUUCUAUUUUCCAUCCUUCCGUCCUGUUGUGACUCAGCGCUGCGGCAUGUUAGCCAUUAAGCGUGAUGACGAGGUGGGCGGAGCCAAGUCCGCUGCUCGAAACAGGCUCUUCAUUAGUGAAGCCGCCGCUCGUUAAAGCUGCAGGCGGCACUCACACACACACACACACACACACACACUCACUCACACUCACGGACUCACUCACACACACACACACUUACACUCACAGACUCUCAUGCACACACAGACACGUGCGCACACACACACACUCACAGACUCACAUGCACACACACCUAACUACUUGCAGACACACAAGUUUUGCAUUGAUCACACUCGACACCACAACCCCCCCCAACAUAUAAACGCACACAAACACACAGACAUGCAUUCAUAACACAGGCCGUCUGACCAAAAGCUGAACACACACACACAUUUUAUAGACACACACACACACACACGCCUCAACAUGGCCAAUAAACCACCACACCAACACGUGGUGCCUGUCUGUCUGUGAGUGUGAGUGUGUGGUGAAGGUGUGCGUUGCUGAGGGUUAGGGUGUGAUUUUCUUGUGUGUGUGUGUUUCUGCAGAUACACUCUUCCCGGCAUCCACGGCCUCAACUUUGUCCUGCAGAGCUCGCUGGGAGGGGGAGGGGUGGCGUCUCUACGCAGCGACCCCCAGGGAAAAGCUUACGGUCAGAUGCUGCUGGACGUGAAGCUGCACGGACUCCCCGACCUCAAGUCCCUGGUGGACUGAGACACUCUGGACCACCACAAAAGAAGAGAGAGAGCAAAGAGAAACACGAAAGGACAUUUUAGCUCAACAGAACGAGGAGAAACCAGAUGAAACGCCAAACCACAGGCUCGGCCAACGUUAGCUAACGUUAGCUAACGCAUUUAAAUCAACCAGAGUAGAUGAUUAAGGAGCAACACGUUGAAAUAGAGGAACACGACUCGCACUAAACCUGGGCUCCGGCUUCAAGGGACCUGACCUCUGUGACCCCGGCGGUUUGGAGACAUCAGGCCUCAGGUUGGUGUGCACGCCCCCCCCCCACCUCCUUCACCUCGACGCGACCCGGCUCCGGUGUUCGCCGGGCUGCAGGAAUGUGCGUCUGCUUCCACCAGAGCACCGUCCCUCCGGCUUCCAGGCUGCUUUUCUGUAAUUGCAAACAGACCGAGAGUUUGUUCUCUACAGCUUCCGUCAACUCAGGACUCCCCCACCCCCCAAAUCCUCCUCCUCCUCGGAGAGAGAAGAGAUCUCCCCCUCUUUGGACGCAUUACUCUUUCCUGGCAACCGCUUUGGUACUUUCACUUCUCUGAUGCUUUGGGGAAUUAUACAUUUUUGUGUAUUUAAUCUUAUUUUUCAGCUGCUGCAUUCGUGAGCUCUGAGUGUUUUCACUCAAACACAGAGAAGAACCACAUGAGACCUUCUGCCAGGAAGAAAAAGCAAAACCACGAUCCUCCGAACAGACUUACGGAGAGAUUUACACGCAAUAAAAUCCUAAAAUAACCCACAACAACGAGAGUCCUUCCACAAACAAAUUGAGCACAGACGCGCGAGUAUCAAUCAACAAAUAUUCGCCUCAGAAGAAUCCACGGGCUCCUCUGGAGUUCAACGGACGCCGCCGAGGUGGUCCCAUCGUUUUUAGCGAGGUGUUGAAAUCCAGGCUGUAAAUUCCAGCUCAGUUUCCCGUUUUCAUAAAAAAGAAAGCUCCGAUUUCAUGUGGAAUCUCGCAUCCGCCUGCUAAUUAGUCACCGUGGAAUAAGUUCUAGCAGCUAAAUGUUCACACGUCGCGGCUGACGGGAAAGACGGUUUGGUGUUUGAUUUUAAACCUUAAGCGACAUGUUCUCUCUCUCAGUAUGAAGCUAAAUAGAAGGAACACUUGUAAUAUGAACUUCAGAAAUAAAUAUGUUUGAAAAAAUCUGUCCUCCAGAAUAUUCUGCAGCGGACGAGCCUGUUAGUCUGCACUGAACUCAUGAAUGUUCAGUAUUUGUUGGUGAAAAAGCAGUGGCCCCAGGAUGGAACUGUGUGUGUGUGUGUGUGUGUGUGUGUGUGUGUGUGUGUGUGUGCGUGUGUGUGUGUGUGUGUGCAUAUAUAACAUGGAGUCUGAGCCUUUCUUUGGGUUUAUUCACCUCUUAAGUUUUAACAUCACUUGUUUCUUCCAAGAACUUUUCUCCAAAUGAAGUAAUGAAAGUUUGAUUCCGUGCUUUCUUUAUUUUUAUCACUUCAUGCUUUUAAGGAGCCGAUUU